AACGCACGAGACCUGCGGACCUGCGGAGGGAUCAUUACAAGUGGCCCCGGUCUAACCACCGGGAUGUUCAUAACCCUUUGUUGUCCGACUCUGUUGCCUCCGGGGCGACCCUGCCUUCGGGCGGGGGCUCCGGGUGGACACUUCAAACUCUUGCGUAACUUUGCAGUCUGAGUAAACUUAAUUAAUAAAUUAAAACUUUCAACAACGGAUCUCU
This 214-nucleotide unclassified non-coding RNA is filed under the name soil metagenome. RNAcentral's name for it is "partial contains 5.8S ribosomal RNA, internal transcribed spacer 2, and large subunit ribosomal RNA". The record is from RNAcentral.